ACUCCUGCGGGAGGCAGCAGUGGGGAAUCUUGCGCAAUGGGCGAAAGCCUGACGCAGCCAUGCCGCGUGAAUGAUGAAGGUCUUAGGAUUGUAAAAUUCUUUCACCGGGGACGAUAAUGACGGUACCCGGAGAAGAAGCCCCGGCUAACUUCGUGCCAGCAGCCGCGGUAAUACGAAGGGGGCUAGCGUUGCUCGGAAUUACUGGGCGUAAAGGGAGCGUAGGCGGACAUUUAAGUCAGGGGUGAAAUCCCGGGGCUCAACCUCGGAAUUGCCUUUGAUACUGGGUGUCUUGAGUAUGAGAGAGGUGUGUGGAACUCCGAGUGUAGAGGUGAAAUUCGUAGAUAUUCGGAAGAACACCAGUGGCGAAGGCGACACACUGGCUCAUUACUGACGCUGAGGCUCGAAAGCGUGGGGAGCAAACAGGAUUAGAUACCCGAGUAGUCCCAUG
This 448-nucleotide ribosomal RNA is filed under the name uncultured organism. Its description in RNAcentral is "partial 16S ribosomal RNA". It matches the Rfam family "Bacterial small subunit ribosomal RNA", at positions 335 to 799 of the family's 1533-position model. The record is from RNAcentral.